UUAUUAACUCCGCCUGUACUCUUCUAGAGUUACUGCCGGUCCCAAGCCCGGGUAAAGGAGGAGAGUUGG
This 69-nucleotide non-coding RNA is filed under the name Schistosoma mansoni. Lineage: Eukaryota; Metazoa; Platyhelminthes; Trematoda; Strigeidida; Schistosomatidae. The record is from RNAcentral.